This 459-nucleotide ribosomal RNA is filed under the name uncultured soil bacterium. Its description in RNAcentral is "bacterial SSU rRNA". It matches the Rfam family "Bacterial small subunit ribosomal RNA", at positions 26 to 518 of the family's 1533-position model. The record is from RNAcentral.
AGGAUGAACGCUGGCGGCGUGCCUAACACAUGCAAGUCGAACGCUCGCAAGAGAGUGGCGCACGGGUGAGUAACACGUAGCUGACCUGCCUUCAAGUGUCGGAUAACGUUCCGAAAGGGACGCUAAUACGGCGUAAGCUCCCGGUCUUUAGAGGGCUGAGAGAAAAGAUUUAUCGCUUGAAGAGGGGGCUGCGACCCAUCAGGUAGUUGGUAAGGUAACGGCUUACCAAGCCAACGACGGGUAGGGGGUCUGAGAGGAUGAUCCCCCACACUGGGACUGAGACACGGCCCAGACUCCUACGGGAGGCAGCAGUGAGGGAUAUGGUCAAUGGGGGCAACCCUGAACCAGCGACGCCGCGUGGGUGAUGAAGGUCUUCGGAUCGUAAAACCCUUUUCUAGGUGACGAGACAAGGACGGUAGCCUAGGAAUAAGUCUCGGCUAACUACGUGCCAGCAGCCGC